The sequence is a small nuclear RNA, 126 nucleotides long. Its record names the gene U2. It matches the Rfam family "U2 spliceosomal RNA". Rfam says of the family: U2 is a small nuclear RNA (snRNA) component of the spliceosome (involved in pre-mRNA splicing). Complementary binding between U2 snRNA (in an area lying towards the 5' end but 3' to hairpin I) and the branchpoint sequence (BPS) of the intron results the bulging out of an unpaired adenosine, on the BPS, which initiates a nucleophilic attack at the intronic 5' splice site, thus starting the first of two transesterification reactions that mediate splicing. The record is from Ensembl.
AUCGCUUCUCUGCCUUUUGGCUAAGAUCAGGUGUAGUGUUUGCUCUUAUCAGUAUCCCUAUAUAUCAUUGUUAUCAUUAUUAUAUCAGAAAAUAGUGAUACUCAGUAAGCCUACUAUGAAAUCUUA